CCUGCCCUCCUAGCACGAGGGCUGCCUCCCCUCCAGAAGCACUUGGCCAAGGGGCCAGGCGGGCCAGGGCUCUAUGCAGGGCAGACUCUCCCUACCCACAGCCCUGGCUUCCGCCUCCUUUUGUUAGGGACUGGGGAUGGUAGCCCUGAGCCCCCAUGCUCCCUCCCUGCUCCACUUGACCAGGGUUUGCUGGGGCUUCCUAAGAGGGAAAGCAGUGGGGCCUUAGGGAAGAGGUCCCAGUCUGGGGAUCAAGACAGAAACUGCACCUCCUACCCCCUGAGGUCAGAGCUGUGUCAGAGAGAAGCCGGAGAAUCCAGACGUCAGGGGCCCCAGGCUGCCUCAGAAGCAGGGCUGUGGGACAGGGCGGUGGCCUCGUGGCGGGUGCCCACAGGCAGCCCUGGUGUUGCCUCUGAACUGUGUUCCUCGAGGGAAUAGAGGUUGAGGCUGCCUCAAGAUGCCUGAGGACAGAGGUGGGAGCCUGGCCUGAUGACACUGGGGGCUUCUAGGUCCCUGAAAGAUCUGCUGCAGCCACCAUCAGGUCCCAACAGGAACCAGAAGAGACCUACUCCUGUGAGCCUGUGAUACCUGUUCAAGAACAGAUAAGUGACUUCACAUGGCUGAGGAGGCAAGUGGAACUUCUGGCCUGUGUGUUCUGUGUGAAUCCAAGAGACAGAAACACAAGCUGCUGGGCAAUGAGAAUGACGCAGUGAUUCGGGAAUUAAUCCACGGGCACGUCGGGGUGUUUACCCACCUCCCAGGAGCUCACAGGCCAACUGAGUGAGGGAAGAGGAAACUACAGAGAUGUCCCUCCUGCGUGCAGGCUCUGUUCUAGGCACACGUCACCUUAUUUCCGCCUCAUGGGAAGGGAUUUUUCUCCCCAUCAUUUGGGACAUGAAACAGAGACUUACCAGGAGGAUAAGGCGCUGAGCCAGGAAGCUGGGCUGUGAUCCUGCAGGAGGUGGGGGGGGAGCCCUCGGAGGCCCAGGAGCAGCUGGGGGUCCCUGAGGCACUCACAGCACCAGCCCUCCUGUUGCUGCUGUAACCGGUGCUGGGGGUGGGGGGUGGGGGGGACGGUAUCUGCUCUGGCCUCUCCCUGCCAUGCAGCCUUGGCACUGGCUUUGCCCCCGCAGCCUCUGCUGCAGCCUCUGCUGAAGCCUCUGGAUAUACCCGGAACUCCAAAGCGGAGCAGCAGAAUCCACUUACCCAGCACCUACCCCGCUCCACACCAGGCUGGGCACGCCCCUCGGAGCAUCAUGUGCCGCUGAGGCGUCUCCUCCACCUCAGAGACCACCUCCUCCGCCUGCCCAGAGAGAAGGGGAGUGAAUUCAGCUGUGGCCACCUACUCUUGUUGCACUUGGGAGAGUGGUGCUGGGGGCAGGGGGCCUCCUACAGAGCCCAGCUCACCCAGCUGGGCUCAGAGCCCACUCUAGAGGGCUACACAGAUCCGUGCAAAUGUGCUUGGUGCCCCGUGGGCUUAGACAUCCUGAGAUGCAGCACAGAUAAGCCCGUGCAAUAUACACAAUGGAAUACUACUCAGCCAUAAAAAAAAGAAUGAAAUCAUGCUAUUUGCAGCAACAUGGAUGGACCUAGAGAGGAUCGUACUAAGUGAACAAAUCAGAGAAAGACAACAUAUGAUAUCACUUAUAUGUGGAAUCUAAAAUAUGGCACAAAUGAACUUCUUUACAGAACAGAAA
Hippopotamus amphibius kiboko is the source of this 1694-nucleotide long non-coding RNA. RefSeq lists it as uncharacterized. NCBI's taxonomy places the organism in Eukaryota, Metazoa, Chordata, Mammalia, Artiodactyla, Hippopotamidae. The transcript has 4 exons. The record is from RefSeq and is a predicted model, not a curated record.